This 253-nucleotide ribosomal RNA is filed under the name uncultured bacterium. RNAcentral's name for it is "partial 16S ribosomal RNA". It matches the Rfam family "Bacterial small subunit ribosomal RNA", at positions 524 to 776 of the family's 1533-position model. The record is from RNAcentral.
UACGUAGGGGGCUAGCGUUGUCCGGAAUCAUUGGGCGUAAAGAGCGCGUAGGCGGCUAGAUAAGUCCGGUGUGAAAGUCACAGGCUCAACCUGUGAAUGCCGCUGGAAACUGUCUGGCUAGAGUCCGGAAGGGGCGAGUGGAAUUCCUGGUGUAGAGGUGGAAUUCGUAGAUAUUAGGAAGAACACCAGUGGCGAAGGCGGCUCACUGGUCCGGUACUGACGCUGAGGUGCGAAAGCGUGGGGAGCAAACAGG